ACUACACCUGAGUUUAUGUUCAUGUGGUGACUUUUUGGAAAACACCUGAGACUGGGUGCUGGUUGUUUCAGAAACCAACCUAUAUUGGAAGGUUGGAGCUUCAGCCCCGUCCCCCAACCUUGGGAGAGGGGAGAGGGCCUGGGAAGUUGAGUUCAAUCACCAAUGGAGAAUGAUUUAGUUCAGCCACCAUUAUGCCUACAUAAUGAAGGGGUUUGGAGAGCUCCGAGGCUGGUGGAGGGGCUGGGAGGGUGGCGCACCUGGAGAGGGCAUGGAAGCUCUGGGCUCCUUCCCACAUUCCUUGCCCCAAGCUCCUCUCCCAUCUUGCUGUGUCUGAGGCAUGUCCUUUUCUAAGGAACUGAUAGUCUAGUAGGGAAACUGUUCCUGAGUUCUGUGAGCUGCUGUAGCAAAUCAAUCAAACGGGACGAUGGGUUCGUGGGAACCUCCAAUCUGUAACCGGAUCGGAUGGGAUCAGAAGCACCGCUGACAGCCUGGACUUGUAACUGGCAUUUGAAAGGGACGGGGCAGCCUUUUGGGACUAAGCCCUUAACCUGUGGGAUCUGCUGCUAUCUCCAGCUGAUCCUGAGGGUCUAGCUUCCCUUUCUACAAAGGCCAGGUUAGCUUUGCUUCCAGAAGUUUCCUGGAUGAAGGGGAAAUUAUUUGCAUUUUUCUCCUGGGAGCUGCUUCAAACCCUGGAACGGGCUGGAUCUUUCUGUAACAAAGAAAAUGAAGAGGAAAAAAACCCUGUAGUUUCCAUAUCAAACCAGAUGUUGCUGUCCUAACCCUGGUACCUGGGAAUGUGACCUUAUUUGGAAAUACGGUCUUUGCAGAUGGUCAAGGUAAGAUGAGGUCAUUAGGGUGGGCUCUAGUCCAGUAUGAAUGGUGUCCCUAUAAAAAGGGAAAUUUGAACACAGAGACAGACGCACACAGAGGAAAGACUGUCUAAAAACACAGGGAGAAAAGAAGGCAUCAACAAGCCGAGGAGAGCUCUAGGCUACAGAAGCCGGGAGAGAACCUGGGACAGACUCUCCCUCAGGGCCCCAGAAGCAACCAGUCCUGCUGACACCUUGAUCUCCAACUCCCAGCCUCCAGGACUCUGAGACAAUAAAUGUGUCAUUUAAGUAGUUUCUUACAGCAGCCCCAGGAAACCAACCGGACACCCUACCUGAAUUUGCUUACUUGCUCUAGUCUAUCAAAUGCAAAAGUACUUAUGGAGGAAGUACUAUGUGCUCUCCCUUACUGAGCUUCACGGGGAGUGCUGAAGGAGCAGCAGACAGGAAGAGGAAGAGACCAGGACGCACCUCACCCGAGGGAGCUGAGAGAGUG
This is a long non-coding RNA of Manis javanica (Malayan pangolin), 1323 nucleotides long. RefSeq lists it as uncharacterized. Lineage: Eukaryota; Metazoa; Chordata; Mammalia; Pholidota; Manidae. The record is from RefSeq and is a predicted model, not a curated record.